AAAAUGUCCCAAAGUGUGCUCACUAAAAUUGGAACGAUACAGAGAAGCCUAGCAUGGGCCCUGAGCAAGGAUGACACGCAAAUUCAUGAAACGUUCUAUAUUUUU
Molecule: small nuclear RNA, 105 nt
Organism: Psammomys obesus (fat sand rat)
Lineage: Eukaryota; Metazoa; Chordata; Mammalia; Rodentia; Muridae
Source: RefSeq, a predicted model, not a curated record